AUCGCGCCAUUGGAUCGGCUUUAGAAUUGGGUUCAUCAGCAUGGUCGAGAGGUUGGUGUUUUCCCAACAAGUAAUUCCUCAGUCGAGUGGGUAUCCCCAGCAGUGUUACUCCCCAAUUGUUGGUGUCUUGCCAGCUUGAGUCUUUUGCCUUAAGCAGAUAUGGGUGUGUCUGAUCUCUCCAUGUAGAGUCUACCCCUUAAGAAGAAAGUGUCAAUCUUUUCCUGCCAUUUCCCCCACUGAG
RNAcentral lists this long non-coding RNA (241 nucleotides) under Lathyrus oleraceus (garden pea). RNAcentral's name for it is "Pisum sativum (pea) long non-coding RNA (PSAT_LNC037966)". Lineage: Eukaryota; Viridiplantae; Streptophyta; Magnoliopsida; Fabales; Fabaceae. The record is from RNAcentral.